AACGAACGCUGGCGGCAUGCCUAAUACAUGCAAGUCGAACGCUGAAACACUCUGCUUGCAGAGUGUGGAUGAGUGGCGAACGGGUGAGUAACACGUGGGGAACCUGCCCAUAAGAGGGGGAUAACAUCCGGAAACGGGUGCUAAUACCGCAUAGGUGAUCGUAGCGCAUGCUUAGACCAUUAAAGAUGGCUUCGGCUAUCGCUUAUGGAUGGCCCCGCGGCGUAUUAGCUAGUUGGUGAGGUAAUGGCUCACCAAGGCUGUGAUACGUAGCCGACCUGAGAGGGUGAUCGGCCACACUGGAACUGAGACACGGUCCAG
Molecule: ribosomal RNA, 318 nt
Filed under: uncultured bacterium
Lineage: Bacteria
Description: bacterial SSU rRNA
Rfam family: Bacterial small subunit ribosomal RNA
Source: RNAcentral